AGGAUAAACGCUGGCGGCGUGCCUAAAACAUGCAAGUCGAACGGCUUACACUUUCGGGUGUAGGUAGUGGCGGACGGCUGAGUAACACGUGGGUGACCUGCCCUCGAGCGGGGGAUAACUGCCCGAAAGGGUGGCUAAUACCGCAGACAUCGGUGAUUCGGUUCACCGAUUGAACCGUUUAUGGUUCGAGGAGGGGCCCGCGGCCGAUUAGCUAGCUGGUGGGUAACGGCCUACCAGGGCGUCGAUCGGUAGCUGGUCUGAGAGGAUGAUCAGCCAGACUGGGACUGCGAACGGCCCAGACCUCCGUACGGAGCAGCAGUAGUAGUUUGGGCAAGUGGGACGAAACGCUCGACCAGACAACGCCGUCGUGGGUGAGUGAACGGCCCGUCGGGUACGUAAACGUCCCUUUCCGAAGGAAGAAUAAGUGACGGUACCGGUAGGGAACUCACGCCCCGACUAACCGUACGU
This 468-nucleotide ribosomal RNA is filed under the name uncultured soil bacterium. RNAcentral's name for it is "bacterial SSU rRNA". It matches the Rfam family "Bacterial small subunit ribosomal RNA", at positions 26 to 508 of the family's 1533-position model. The record is from RNAcentral.